CUUGAUGUUGCAGGCAGUCUCCAGGCAGUAACGCAGGGGGAUGGACAAGACAUGUCAAUAUUCUCAAAUAAUACAGAUCAACAGGAGAAACUCUGUAGACGGAAUCCACUUUCAACAACCGGAGAUUAGUCCAUGAUCUGAAAACUUGCUAAAUGUGGACAAUGAGGAGAUUAACUCCAAAGCCAGACAAAAGUAAAUCACAAAGGACUUUUGGGGAAGUUCCUGUCUAAAAGCUCGCAUGAAGUAAGUCAGAGCUCUUGUCGCUUCGGAUUUCGCUACUGUAAAGUCCCUCUGGAGGGACCACAUGACGAGCGUAAUUCACGCUUUCAGCUUUUGGACACCAGGCGUAUUUCUCGGGCAGAGCUCGCCGUGUGACUUCGGGGCGCCCACCUCCCAGCCCGCCCUCGCCGUGCAGCGGGCGACAUGUCCGCGUUCCGUGACCGCUGCGGGCAUCGUUCUCGUCUUCGGGGCAGACGUGCCGAACACACGCUCCCUCGUCCUUCGGUGCGUUCCUUCACUCAUCCAGCAGCGCCCUAAGCUCCCCGCCUUCCAAGCCCUCUGCUCCACCGACCGCUGUGAGCUUUCCUUUUGGCUACGCAGCCAGCGCAACGGGCAUUUCUAUCUUUCAAGCUCGCGAUUUGCGAUACUCCCACCCGACACACGCCUCGACCGCGGACACAGAACGCGGGGAGGGGCGGGGCGGCCGGCACGGGGCUCGCCGUGCUCCCCAACCCCACGGUCCCGCUCCCCC
This 751-nucleotide long non-coding RNA is filed under the name Gallus gallus (chicken). Its description in RNAcentral is "lncRNA (ENSGALG00010007140.1)". Lineage: Eukaryota; Metazoa; Chordata; Aves; Galliformes; Phasianidae. The record is from RNAcentral.